RNAcentral lists this unclassified non-coding RNA (155 nucleotides) under soil metagenome. RNAcentral describes it as "partial internal transcribed spacer 1". The record is from RNAcentral.
CAUGAGUGCUACAACUCCCUAACCCAUUGUGAACUAUUACCUGUUGCCUUCGGGCUACCGGCGCUACCCUCGUAGGGUAGUCCCGCCGGUCGGAAUCAAAAUCUCUGUUUUCAGUGUAAUCUCUGACGAUACUUAACUAGUUCUAGCUAACUUCA